RNAcentral lists this long non-coding RNA (495 nucleotides) under Gouania willdenowi (blunt-snouted clingfish). Its description in RNAcentral is "lncRNA (ENSGWIG00000003919.1)". Lineage: Eukaryota; Metazoa; Chordata; Actinopteri; Blenniiformes; Gobiesocidae. The record is from RNAcentral.
CGUGGAUACAUGACGCACUAGAUAAUACUGAUCUGUUGGAGCUUGUGUGUGUUCACUGUUUCACAAUGGCUGCACACAUGCAAAGGGAGGGAAGUGCAAGCAAAUACAGGAUAUGGGUUUACAAGACCGAAGUGCAUCAUUGUCGCACACACUCCCACAUCCUCAGAGUUAUUACUCUGCUGGUUUCAAUGGCCCACUGCUGCAAAAUUCAAUCCUAAAACCUUCAUAUUAGAGUUAACGGUGUGGCUUUCACACUCAUUGUGUUUCCAAGGAGGAUUGCUGCUUGAUCUACACAGCUAACUGAGAAAGCAUUUGAAGAUGAUGCGAUUGCCGUUCCUGUGUCUCCUGCUUCUGCUUCCAGCUGUUACUGGUGUUGCAGACGAUUUCGAAGGGUCAGCUUUUGAAGAUGAUGAUGAGGAUUCAGUCCAGAAAAGUGUGCGAGGUGGACUUCCUGGCACAGCUGUGGACAAGACCAUAGGUUAUGAUGAAAGCUAA